AAUCAACGCUGGCGGCGUGCCUCAGACAUGCGAGUCGAACGAUUAAACUUCCCUUCGGGGAAGAUAUAAAGUGGCGCACGGGUGAGUAACACGUAGGUAAUGUACCUUUGGGUGGGGAAUAACUUAGGGAAACUUAAGCUAAUACCGCAUAAUGCAGCGGCUCCUUCGGGAGACAGUUGUUAAAGAUUUAUCGCCUAAAGAGCAGCCUGCGGCAGAUUAGCUAGUUGGUAAGGUAACGGCUUACCAAGGCUACGAUCUGUAUCCGACCUGAGAGGGUGGUCGGACACACUGACACUGAAUAACGGGUCAGACUCCUACGGGAGGCAGCAGUCGGGAAUUUUGGGCAAUGGGCGAAAGCCUGACCCAGCAACGCCGCGUGAAGGAUGAAGUCUUUCGGGAUGUAAACUUCGUAAGAAUAGGAAGAAUAAAUGACGGUACUAUUUGUAAGGUCCGGCUAACUACGUG
This 465-nucleotide ribosomal RNA is filed under the name uncultured bacterium. RNAcentral's name for it is "partial 16S ribosomal RNA". It matches the Rfam family "Bacterial small subunit ribosomal RNA", at positions 32 to 507 of the family's 1533-position model. The record is from RNAcentral.